Molecule: long non-coding RNA, 1300 nt
Filed under: Chrysolophus pictus (golden pheasant)
Lineage: Eukaryota; Metazoa; Chordata; Aves; Galliformes; Phasianidae
Description: lncRNA (ENSCPIG00010000220.1)
Source: RNAcentral
GCUACAGCCACCAUUGGCACCGCCGCAGCCACCGCCAUUGCGGUAACAGCGCCGCCGGUACCAUCGGAACCGCUGCUGGUAGCGCUGCCGGUACCACCGGAUCCACCACCGGUACCACCAACCCCGGUACCGGGCCAGCACCGGAACCGACACCGGUACCGCUACAGCCACCAUUGGCACCGCCGCAGCCACCGCCAUUGCGGUAACAGCGCCGCCGGUACCAUCGGAACCGCUGCUGGUAGCGCUGCCGGUACCACCGGAUCCACCACCGGUACCACCAACACCGGUACCGGGAGUACCACCACCCCCAGUGCCACCAGUAAGAGGAGAAUUGCUGGUGCUACCGCUGUUGGUACCGCUGGUACCACCACAACCAGCUCUGGUACCACCGCAGCCAUCGCUGGUACCGCAGUUGUCACCGGUACCACCGUGAGCACCUCCGGUACCAUCAGUACCGGUGUACCCUCGUCACCGGUACCGGAAGUACCAUCAGCACCAGUACCACCGAUACCGGCACUCGCAUCACCGCCGGUACCGCCUGUACCAGCAGUAGCAGCUCCAGUACCGUCAUCAGAACCAUCGGUACCGUCACCACCGGUACCACCGUUGCCGGUACCAUCGGUGCAGCUGGUGUCACCAUUGGCAGUACCACCACCACCGGUACCAUCGGCAUCACUGCUCCCAUCGCCACCGGUACCACCAGUACCUCCGGUACCAGUACCACCGAUCCCAUCAUCCACAGCACCGCCGGCACCAGAACCACCGGUACCACCGAUCCCACCAGUCCCACCAUUGACAGCACGACUGGCACCGGUAGAACCGACACCGGUACCAUCAGCACCACCGGUACCACCCGGCCCGUCAUUGGCAGCAGCACCAACACCACCAGUACCAUCAGACCCAUCACUGAUAGCACCACCGGAACCAGUAUCGCCAGUCCCAUCAUUGCCAGCUCCACUGGUACCACCGGGUCCAUCAGUGCCAGCCCUACCAGAACCAGCUCCACUGGUACCACCGGAUCCAUCAGUGCCAGCCCUACCGGAACCAGCCCCACUGGUACCACCAGCCCCAUCAUCGACAGCACCUCUGGAACCAGUACCAUCAGUCCCAUUAUUGACAGUCCUACCAGAACCAGCCCCAUUGGUACCACCAGACCCAUCAUUGGCAGUCCUACCAGAACCAGCCCCACUGGUACCAUCGGAUCUAUCAUUGCCAGCCCUACCGGAACCAGCCCCACUGGUACCAUCGGAUCCAUCAUUGCCAGCCCUACCGGAACCAGCCCCACUGGUACCACCGCACC